UGCCGCUGUCGCAUACACAGAUCUGGCAUGGCUCCGGUUUCCACACAUCCCUGUCAGCAAACACCUGGCCGUCCAAGGUGCAGCUACCGCCCGUGCCUGUGGGAGGCGACACAGAGAGACAGGGAAGAGGAUGGAAUGCAAUCUGUCUUUCAGGAAGAAAGAGAGGCAGAAAAGAACAAGAAAGGGAGGAAAGCGCCACCUCAUCAUUCCCCAGUUCGGCUUCCAGCUCCUAUUGGAUCUUCGGGGCGUCACAAACUCACACAUUCACACACACAGCUUUUUUUUUCUUUCUUUUUUUUUUUUUGUCUUUUUCCAAUGAUUCUGAUGAAAAAAACAUAUAUCGCCCUCAUUUCAGCAGCUCACCUCAAAAUCUCAACUUGACGACUUCUAAAAGCAACACAUUCAGGUUUUUUUCCCCCAUAUUUUGACAUAAAGGUAAAAGUGCAUUUUCAAACACAUUUGUGUCAUGCAUUGCGGUAGAAUCGUGACAUAGGCCUUUACAGUUGGGUCAUUGCUAAAGCAAUUUAAGUUGCAACAAAAGUCUAGCAAAUAAGUUGCAGAGACCAGAAGUUGUUUAGCUUUGCUUAGCACAAACAACUGUUACAACAACUUUGACUUUAUUUAGAAUUAGAUUUAUAUGUUAUUUAGUUAAGUGUGCACAUGCAGGAAGGUGGUGAUGCUUAAUGUUCCCAUGUCGUUGAGCUAAGCUAAGCUAAGCUUAUCUUGUUCUGGUACCUUGAUAUGUACCAAUAGCCAUCAAACUGGCAUCAAGGGAGGUCAAAAAGAAGGGAAGAGACAGGAAGCCAGAGGGAAGUAAUAGUUAGUGAUGGCACAGCAUUUUUCUUAACAAGCUAGCUAAACUACUAGCUAAAUUUUUUUUUUACCUUUUCAAUACAAGAACACAAAUAUUAAAAAACUACAUUUUAUUGAUUCACUUCUUGAACAUGCGUUUUAACAACAAAGCGUGCAAGUAAACAAGAUCAGUCUGCCAAACACGAAUUACAGAAGCGUGGAGGCAGCCACUGCAUCUUGUUUCUGAACGCAGUAUUUAAAGAUUAAAACUUCACAUUCUAUGAUGUUUGGAAUGAACCGACAGUGAAUGCAUCCGAGACCUUACGCAAAACUGAACUUAGAAGAGAUGUAAUUGUAGGUUUUACAGAUUAAAACAGUUAGAAUUAUAGAUAUGCCGUGGAGCUUUCUUUUAAGAGCUCAGUCGCAUACGCUCUCAACUCGCACCAAAAAGGUCAUGCUGGUCGUGAUUCCGCACAAUAAACUGCAUAUUUCUCCUUUGUGUUGUUUUCACUGAUCUCAUGAUUGAGCCAUUUUCCUCCAAAACAUAAUGUGACCCAAAUUAAAGAGUACAUGUACAUUUUCUUUCUUUACUCUAAAAAUGUAUAUAAUGGCUUUGAUUGCACACAAGUACAUACUACCAGACAUUGCAUGCAUGCAUCAGAGAGUAAUUAGUUGUAUAGAAAUUGGCUGGUGCAGACUUUCAAGGGGUGUAACUUUGGCAUGUUGAAGGGUCAGGUUGGUACAAAUGUAGAAACACUCCAUACAUAUAAGUAGGAUUUAAUUAAAGCACAGUCGUGCUUGCAAAGUCAUAUAGGAAUAAAGACUGAGUGAUCUCUCAGUUCCAAUCUAUAAUUUCCAACAUUUCCCUGCCAGAGCAGAGCUGGAGAAAAACAAAUGGAAAUGUUUGAGAUUCCUGCACAGGAGGAAGAAGGGAUUGAAAUGAUAUUAAUUAUCCCUAAAGGGGUCAGAUGGGAGGCAAAGAGACACUGAGGUAAAGCUGUUAUUUAAUAGUAGGGAAACUCAUUAAGAUCCAGUUAAAGAUCAGACUCCUGGCCAAUAAGCUUUGGGCAAUGAAAUUAUCUUACAUCUAAAUCAGGUGGGUUAUUAAAAGGCAAGCGACAGUGAGCGAUCUGAGCAAAAAAUGUGAUUUAACACACCGUGAAUAGUGCAUAGAUUGAAUAGGUGAGUUGUCCAUUGAAUGUGGGACAUGUUUAAAUAAUACUUUUUCACCUGAGCCACUGAAAAUAAGACUUCUUGCUACAGCGCAUGGUGCUAGAAGAGUACAUCUAGGAUCUCACUAUAUGCUGAUGAUAUGCUGGUGUGUAUGGAUCGCCUUUCAACAUCUGUUUCCCUUUGUUCCACAGAAAAUGUUUGAUUGUGUGAAGAAGUUAACCUUUGCCUCCUCUUUCAAGCAGUGUGGAAAGAAAGUCUUCACUCCAAAAACGAGGAAUGCCAAAAGGCACACUUGAACAUUCCUGACAUGGAGCACAAAGACGAACUGGGAAA
This is a long non-coding RNA of Mugil cephalus (flathead mullet), 2298 nucleotides long. RefSeq lists it as uncharacterized. Lineage: Eukaryota; Metazoa; Chordata; Actinopteri; Mugiliformes; Mugilidae. The transcript is spliced from 3 exons. The record is from RefSeq and is a predicted model, not a curated record.